This 460-nucleotide ribosomal RNA is filed under the name uncultured bacterium. Its description in RNAcentral is "partial 16S ribosomal RNA". It matches the Rfam family "Bacterial small subunit ribosomal RNA", at positions 338 to 795 of the family's 1533-position model. The record is from RNAcentral.
CCUACGGGAGGCUGCAGUGAGGAAUAUUGGUCAAUGGGCGGAAGCCUGAACCAGCAAAGUAGCGUGAAGGAUGACGGCCCUACGGGUUGUCAACUGCUUUUAUACGGGAAUAACGCGCCUUACGUGUAGGGCUUUGCAUGUACCGUAUGAAUAAGGAACGGCUAAUUCCGUGCCAGCAGCCGCGGUAAAACGGAAGGUCCGGGCGUUAGCCGGAUUUAUUGGGGUGAAAGGGGGCGUAGGCCGCAUGUCAAGCGUGCUGUGAAAUGUCCGGGCUCAACCCGGGCCUUGCCGCUCGAACUGGCGUGCUUGAGUCCGCGGAGAGCAUGCGGAAUUCGUCGUGUAGCGGUGAAAUGCUUAGAUAUGACGAAGAACCCCGAUUGCGAAGGCAGCUUGCUGCAGCGGAACUGACGCUGAUGCUCGAAAGCGCGGGUAUCGAACAGGAUUAGAUACCCUAGUAGUC